CAACUGUUCCUGAGUCUCCCUUUCUAUAUGCUUCCCGAUUGCCAUGAGGUGAGCAGCUUUCUUCCACCACAACUUUCUGCCAUGAUGUUUCUGCCUCCUCCCAGGCCUAAAACAAUGGUGCGAACAGACCAUAGACUGAUGUCUCUGAAAGCAUGAACCAAAAUCAAUCUUCCUUUAAUUUGUUAUUAUCAAGUGUUUUGUCACAAUGAAAAAAACCCGACUAACACAAUGCUCUUAUGAAAAAAAAAAAGGUCUGUGAGAUCUUGUUUGCCCUUUUUCCUUUGUGAGGACACAGCUAGAGGACAAAAUCUUUAAAACACAGAGCAAGUUCUCCCCAGAUACCAAAUCUACCAGCAACUUAACCUUGACUUCCAACCCUCCAGAACUAUGCCUCUGGCUGUUAACCAUGACAACAAAAGCAACAUGAAACAGUGUAUGGCCAAAUCCUAGAAAUAUCUCUUCCAGGACAUUGUACAGUAUAGCAUCAUGUUCCUACUGGAAGUGUGUCAGAGAAUGAAGUGAGACAAGACAGACUUCAGGAAUUGUGGAGCAAUCAAGAAAGUCAGGACUUCAUGACACAGUGUUCACAGCACUGGAGGGAAUUCAGACUCCAAGGCAAUAAAGACAAUACCACAGGGACCGUCAUCUGCCUCGCAAGCACAAAGGAAGCAACCCAGGCAUGAUGAAGAAAAGAAGAUAACCCCACUGUCAACUCACCAGCAAGGCCAGCAUUCAGCAGGAGUGGGAGAGGAAGGCAAAGGGGCACGCUAGGAAACAGUGAACUUUGGACCCAGAUAGACAAAAAUUUGAGCCAACUUCACCUCAUGCUUGAAGUGUCACUGGCCAUGUUGUGCAACACCCCCCUAGCUGCAUCCCUUCAGGGUAUAAGAAGAUAGCAGCUGUGCCUCCACUUACCUUAGAGGAAUAAAUGCCAAAUGACUGAAUCUGCAGCUGCUCCUGUCAGACGCUCAGCCCCGUGGACAAUAAACCUCUCCCAAGACCACCAGUCCUGUGCUCUCACGGUCACUUGCAAACUCAGCACGUUCUCCAC
This 1051-nucleotide long non-coding RNA is filed under the name Heterocephalus glaber (naked mole-rat). RNAcentral describes it as "lncRNA (ENSHGLG00000033309.1)". The record is from RNAcentral. Lineage: Eukaryota; Metazoa; Chordata; Mammalia; Rodentia; Bathyergidae.